This 49-nucleotide transfer RNA is filed under the name Elseya novaeguineae (New Guinea snapping turtle). RNAcentral describes it as "partial tRNA-Glu". Lineage: Eukaryota; Metazoa; Chordata; Testudines; Chelidae. The record is from RNAcentral.
GUUCCUGUGGUUUUAUGUGUUCUUUAGUUGGAUAAUGAUUGAUUGUUCC